This 696-nucleotide ribosomal RNA is filed under the name uncultured bacterium. RNAcentral's name for it is "bacterial SSU rRNA". It matches the Rfam family "Bacterial small subunit ribosomal RNA", at positions 9 to 694 of the family's 1533-position model. The record is from RNAcentral.
GAGUUUGAUCCUGGCUCAGAUUGAACGCUGGCGGCAGGCCUAACACAUGCAAGUCGAACGGUAACAGGAAACAGCUUGCUGUUUCGCUGACGAGUGGCGGACGGGUGAGUAAUGUCUGGGAAACUGCCUGAUGGAGGGGGAUAACUACUGGAAACGGUAGCUAAUACCGCAUAACGUCGCAAGACCAAAGAGGGGGACCUUCGGGCCUCUUGUCAUCGGAUGUGCCCAGAUGGGAUUAGCUAGUAGGUGGGGUAACGGCUCACCUAGGCGACGAUCCCUAGCUGGUCUGAGAGGAUGACCAGCCACACUGGAACUGAGACACGGUCCAGACUCCUACGGGAGGCAGCAGUGGGGAAUAUUGCACAAUGGGCGCAAGCCUGAUGCAGCCAUGCCGCGUGUAUGAAGAAGGCCUUCGGGUUGUAAAGUACUUUCAGCGGGGAGGAAGGGAGUAAAGUUAAUACCUUUGCUCAUUGACGUUACCCGCAGAAGAAGCACCGGCUAACUCCGUGCCAGCAGCCGCGGUAAUACGGAGGGUGCAAGCGUUAAUCGGAAUUACUGGGCGUAAAGCGCACGCAGGCGGUUUGUUAAGUCAGAUGUGAAAUCCCCGGGCUCAACCUGGGAACUGCAUCUGAUACUGGCAAGCUUGAGUCUCGUAGAGGGGGGUAGAAUUCCAGGUGUAGCGGUGAAAUGCGUAGA